GACGAACCGUGCGAACGUUGUUCGGAAUCAUUGGGCUUAAAGGGCGCGUAGGCGGGCGGGCAAGUCAGGGGUGAAAUCCCACGGCUCAACCGUGGAAGUGCCCUUGAUACUGCCGGUCUCGAGGGGGGUAGGGGCGUGCGGAACUUCCGGUGGAGCGGUGAAAUGCGUAGAUAUCGGAAGGAACACCGGUGGCGAAAGCGGCGCGCUGGACCCCCACUGACGCUGAGGCGCGAAAGCCAGGGGAGCAAACGGG
This 253-nucleotide ribosomal RNA is filed under the name uncultured bacterium. RNAcentral's name for it is "partial 16S ribosomal RNA". It matches the Rfam family "Bacterial small subunit ribosomal RNA", at positions 524 to 776 of the family's 1533-position model. The record is from RNAcentral.